RNAcentral lists this small RNA (837 nucleotides) under Rattus norvegicus (Norway rat). RNAcentral's name for it is "uncharacterized LOC102547978". The record is from RNAcentral. Lineage: Eukaryota; Metazoa; Chordata; Mammalia; Rodentia; Muridae.
GAUAAGCAGAGGAGAUAGAGCACAUCUGAGUUGGAAUCGCCGCAUGCCCAUCAGGAGGCCAGGGCUGUGAACCUGCCCGAUCACUGGCAGUCAACCAGGCCCUUCUUUAUCUGGAAAAACUGCCCUUAGGACAGCCUAGUGCUGCAGUGAACAAUGGAGGGAAAUGGAAGCCCAAGCUUCGGUGCUGGGAUCCUGCCACCCACACUCCUUUGCACUGUUAUUUCUGGCAAAGCAGACGUGUGGGAAGAGGUACGAAUGAAGCCUGCGAACGAAGCGGAAGUGGAAACGCGGUGGUACGAGGGAAAUUGAAGAUUGUUUGCCCAGCUUCAGGGAUUUAGUUACAAAAGAGUCAGAGAGCAGCGUCAGUGGGUGUGGGGUGGUGGCUGUUACAGCCUGUGUCUGGAACAUCGCGCAGAGGCUCCUGGGUUGAAGACUUGGUUCCCAGGGCUGCAGUAUUCAGAGGUCAAACGGACCCACUUGAGGUUAACUUCUUUGGAGUUCCUUCCUAUGUGGAUUUCAGAGAGCCUGGAAGGCUGAGCCUCAUUAUGAUGCAACAACCAACCAUGGAUUCCGGUUGUGGCCAUUAGGGGGCAGCAUUUUGGGUUCUGUUCAUUUCCAGAGGCCGUCCUCAUCGGGCUACAGUGAUGUCACCUGAGGGACAGAAUGCACACCUGUCUGAGCUAUGCAGUUCGUGAACCCAAAGCCAGGCCUUUGUUUCAACUGAGCCCAAGAAUAAGAGGCUGAGUCCGUGGAUGGCCUCACUGGGAAGGCUGGUCACCUGAUAUGGCAAGGUGGGGUGAACACCAGAGGACUGUAUCUGUUGUACUUCAUCGCCAU